This 690-nucleotide ribosomal RNA is filed under the name Triticum aestivum (bread wheat). Its description in RNAcentral is "partial small subunit ribosomal RNA". Lineage: Eukaryota; Viridiplantae; Streptophyta; Magnoliopsida; Poales; Poaceae. The record is from RNAcentral.
AUGUACCUUGCAAAUUGCACCAGGCCUGAUAUUGCAUUUGCGGUAAAUUUACUAGCUAGACAUAGCUCAGCUCCAACAAAACGUCAUUGGACGGGAGUAAAGAAUAUCCUUAGAUAUUUACAUGGCACAAAAGAUCUUGGUUUAUUCUAUCAGAAAAACCAAGAUAUGACUAUGGUAGGAUAUACUGACGCUGGCUAUCUAUCUGAUCCUCACAACGCCAGGUCACAGACAGGUUUUGUAUUCUUAUAUGGUGGAACUGCUUUUCCAUGGAAGUCAACAAAACAGACUCUUGUAGCAACUUUCACUAAUCAUUCUGAAAUUAUUGCAUUAUUUGAAGCAUCAAAGGAAUGUGUAUGGCUUCGCAUGAUGAUUAACCACAUUCAAACUGCAUGUGGUGUUGGUUCAUUAGGAUCACCAACUAUUAUUUAUGAAGAUAAUGCAGCUUGUGUUGCUCAAAUGCAAAUGGGUUAUAUAAAAAGUAAUAUCACAAAACACAUUUCUCCUAAGUUGUUCUAUCCUCAUGCAUUACAGAAAAAUGGAGAAAUUGGUAUUUUGCAAACUAAAUCAUGUGACAAUCUAGCAGAUUUGUUCACAAAGUCUUUACCAAAUUCAACAUUCCAGAAAUGCAUUCAUGGAAUUGGUAUGAGACGACUUCGAGAUUUGCAAAGUUUGGGGGGAGAAAUCUCCUGA